GCACCACGCGGCACCGGCCGACACCGCCCCGCACGAACCCCGCUGCUCUCCUAAAGCGGGUGUCGCAGGUUCGAAUCCUGCCUGGGGCA
RNAcentral lists this transfer RNA (89 nucleotides) under Streptomyces sp. B1866. RNAcentral's name for it is "tRNA-Arg". Lineage: Bacteria; Bacillati; Actinomycetota; Actinomycetes; Kitasatosporales; Streptomycetaceae. The record is from RNAcentral.